RNAcentral lists this ribosomal RNA (305 nucleotides) under uncultured bacterium. RNAcentral's name for it is "bacterial SSU rRNA". It matches the Rfam family "Bacterial small subunit ribosomal RNA", at positions 333 to 654 of the family's 1533-position model. The record is from RNAcentral.
CUUCUCCUACGGGGGGCAGCAGUGGGGAAUAUUGCACAAUGGGGGAAACCCUGAUGCAGCAACGCCGCGUGAGUGAAGAAGGUUUCCGGAUUGUAAAGCUCUGUUAGCAGGGAAGAGGAAGGACGGUACCUGCAGAGGAAGCCACGGCUAACUACGUGCCAGCAGCCGCGGUAAUACGUAGGUGGCAAGCGUUGUUCGGAAUAACUGGGCGUAAAGGAUGCGUAGGCGGGUAAACAAGUUAUAUGUUAAAUAUAUAGGCUUAACAUGUAGAAAGCAUAUAAAACUGUUUAACUGGAGUGGAGGAG